AGUGAACGCUGGCGGUAGGCCUAACACAUGCAAGUCGAACGGCAGCACAGUAAGAGCUUGCUCUUACGGGUGGCGAGUGGCGGACGGGUGAGGAAUACAUCGGAAUCUACUUUUUCGUGGGGGAUAAAGUAGGGAAACUUACGCUAAUACCGCAUACGACCUACGGGUGAAAGCAGGGGAUCUUCGGACCUUGCGCGAUUGAAUGAGCCGAUGUCGGAUUAGCUAGUUGGCGGGGUAAAGGCCCACCAAGGCGACGAUCCGUAGCUGGUCUGAGAGGAUGAUCAGCCACACUGGAACUGAGACACGGUCCAGACUCCUACGGGAGGCAGCAGUGGGGAAUAUUGGACAAUGGGCGCAAGCCUGAUCCAGCCAUACCGCGUGGGUGAAGAAGGCCUUCGGGUUGUAAAGCCCUUUUGUUGGGAAAGAAAAGCAGCAGGUUAAUACCCCGCUGUUCUGACGUUACCCAAAGAAUAAGCACCGGCUAACUUCGUG
This 492-nucleotide ribosomal RNA is filed under the name uncultured bacterium. RNAcentral's name for it is "partial 16S ribosomal RNA". It matches the Rfam family "Bacterial small subunit ribosomal RNA", at positions 29 to 507 of the family's 1533-position model. The record is from RNAcentral.